This 497-nucleotide ribosomal RNA is filed under the name uncultured bacterium. RNAcentral describes it as "partial 16S ribosomal RNA". It matches the Rfam family "Bacterial small subunit ribosomal RNA", at positions 28 to 507 of the family's 1533-position model. The record is from RNAcentral.
GAUGAACGCUGGCGGCGUGCCUAAUACAUGCAGGUCGAGCGAACAGACGAGGAGCUUGCUCCUCUGACGUUAGCGGCGGACGGGUGAGUAACACGUGGAUAACCUACCUAUAAGACUGGGAUAACUUCGGGAAACCGGAGCUAAUACCGGAUAAUAUAUUGAACCGCAUGGUUCAAUAGUGAAAGACGGUUUUGCUGUCACUUAUAGAUGGAUCCGCGCCGCAUUAGCUAGUUGGUAAGGUAACGGCUUACCAAGGCAACGAUGCGUAGCCGACCUGAGAGGGUGAUCGGCCACACUGGAAAUGAGACACGGUCCAGACUCCUAAGGGAGGCGGCAGUAGGGAAUCUUGCGCAAUGGGCGAAAGCCUGAAGGAGCCACGCCGCGUGAGUGAUGAAGGUCUUCGGAUCGUAAAACUCUGUUAUUAGGGAAGAACAAAUGUGUAAGUAACUAUGCACGUCUUGACGGUACCUAAUCAGAAAGCCACGGCUAACUACGUG